GCCGCCGUAGCUCGGUGGUAGAGCAUCGGACGCGGUAUUCGAAGGCCACAGGUUCGGUCCCUGCCGGCGGCA
Molecule: transfer RNA, 72 nt
Filed under: Rhipicephalus sanguineus (brown dog tick)
Lineage: Eukaryota; Metazoa; Arthropoda; Arachnida; Ixodida; Ixodidae
Description: transfer RNA proline (anticodon CGG)
Rfam family: tRNA
About the family: Transfer RNA (tRNA) molecules are approximately 80 nucleotides in length. Their secondary structure includes four short double-helical elements and three loops (D, anti-codon, and T loops). Further hydrogen bonds mediate the characteristic L-shaped molecular structure. tRNAs have two regions of fundamental functional importance: the anti-codon, which is responsible for specific mRNA codon recognition, and the 3' end, to which the tRNAs corresponding amino acid is attached (by aminoacyl-tRNA synthetases). tRNAs cope with the degeneracy of the genetic code in two manners: having more than one tRNA (with a specific anti-codon) for a particular amino acid; and 'wobble' base-pairing, i.e. permitting non-standard base-pairing at the 3rd anti-codon position.
Source: Rfam by way of RNAcentral